UCGAGAAUAAUUCACAAUGGGGGAAACCCUGAUGGUGCAACGCCGCGUGGAGGAUGAAGGUCUUCGGAUUGUAAACUCCUGUCAUCUGGGAGUAAGACCUGGGCGUGAAUAGCGCACAGGGUUGAUAGUACCAGAAGAGGAAGGGACGGCUAACUUCGUGCCAGCAGCCGCGGUAAUACGAAGGUCCCAAGCGUUGUUCGGAAUCACUGGGCGUAAAGGGUGCGUAGGCGGUUUGGUAAGUCAGAUGUGAAAUCCCGGGGCUCAACCCCGGAACUGCAUCCGAUACUGCCAGACUAGAGGACUGGAGAGGUGACUGGAAUUCUCGGUGUAGCAGUGAAAUGCGUGGAUAUCGAGAGGAACACUCGUGGCGUAAGCGAGUCACUGGACAGUAUCUGACGCUGAGGCACGAAGGCCAGGGUAGCGAAAGGG
This 429-nucleotide ribosomal RNA is filed under the name uncultured bacterium. Its description in RNAcentral is "bacterial SSU rRNA". It matches the Rfam family "Bacterial small subunit ribosomal RNA", at positions 355 to 776 of the family's 1533-position model. The record is from RNAcentral.